This 243-nucleotide long non-coding RNA is filed under the name Lathyrus oleraceus (garden pea). RNAcentral describes it as "Pisum sativum (pea) long non-coding RNA (PSAT_LNC009032)". Lineage: Eukaryota; Viridiplantae; Streptophyta; Magnoliopsida; Fabales; Fabaceae. The record is from RNAcentral.
CAAACGGUGGCGUUUUGCUCGCUGAAAGGAAAUAAUCUUAUUGGUGCAUGGCGCUACAGUGCACAUGCAUACGUAUGAACUCAAAAAUCUGGGCAGGCAUCAAUUGGGAUUUAGGGUUUAUGCUACAGUGAUGCAUCUUCAUCACCUUCAAAUCGAAUUUCAGAAAAAAUCCCAGAAAUACAAAUUGAAAACAUAGAAACGUUCAGCAAGGCAAGACAAGCAACAAUCCAUCAUCAGUUUUCA